Molecule: ribosomal RNA, 722 nt
Rfam family: Archaeal large subunit ribosomal RNA (bases 322-487)
CACGAAACUGUAUGAGCUAACUAAGACUAAAACUAUGUUGCAAAAUAGCUAAGAAAUUAUAGUUAGGGGUGAAAGGCCUUUCAAACACAGUGAUAUCUUGAUUUUUCCGAAAAGUGUUGAGCACGAUUAAAAAUUUAGAGCGAUAAGGUUUUAAAUAAUCAUUAAAUAUGAUUAGUUAAAUAUGUUGAUAUAAAAAUCUAUAAAAAAAAGAAAUUAAUAUUAAUAAUUGAAAAUUAUGAUGUGUGUAGGGAAAUAUUUGUUAAUUUUGUUAAAAGUUGAUAAUGUUAAUAUUAGUAAUUUGGAGAUACCAAUAGUGAACUCGGCAUUAAGCUUUCAACUGUUUACCAAAAACAUAGCUACGUGUAUUAUACGUAGUAAUUUCUGCUCAAUGAGAUAUUUAAAUAGCCGCAGUACCCUGACUGUGCAAAGGUAGCGUAAUCAAUUGUCUUUUAAUUAGAGACGAGUAUGAAUGAACAUAUGGGGGCUUUCUUUACCAUUGGUACAAGUAGAAUUUACUUAUCGGGUGAAAAUACUCGUAGAUAAAUAAUAGACGAGAAGACCCUUGAAAUUUUUAACAGCUUUUUGUUGGGGCAACAUAGUAGCAGGUAACCUACUAGAAUUAACCAGAAAUUAUGUGGUGUGAUUAAAUUACUCUAGGGAUAACAGCGUAAUCUUUGAUUGUUUGUGACCUCGAUGUUGGAUUAGGGAAUUGUCGCUUAGAA